Molecule: ribosomal RNA, 301 nt
Filed under: uncultured bacterium
Lineage: Bacteria
Description: partial 16S ribosomal RNA
Rfam family: Bacterial small subunit ribosomal RNA
Source: RNAcentral
CAGUCGCCGCGGGAAAACGUAGGUGGCAAGCGUUGUCCGGAAUUAUUGGGCGUAAAGGGCUCGCAGGCGGUUUCUUAAGUCUGAUGUGAAAGCCCCCGGCUCAACCGGGGAGGGUCAUUGGAAACUGGGAAACUUGAGUGCAGAAGAGGAGAGUGGAAUUCCACGUGUAGCGGUGAAAUGCGUAGAGAUGUGGAGGAACACCAGUGGCGAAGGCGACUCUCUGGUCUGUAACUGACGCUGGGGAGCGAAAGCGUGGGGAGCGAACAGGAUUAGAUACCCCCGUAGUCCCUGUCUCUUAUAC